Long non-coding RNA from Cygnus olor (mute swan), 2066 nucleotides. RefSeq lists it as uncharacterized. The record is from RefSeq and is a predicted model, not a curated record. NCBI's taxonomy places the organism in Eukaryota, Metazoa, Chordata, Aves, Anseriformes, Anatidae. The transcript is spliced from 6 exons.
AAAGCCGAAGGAAUCUACCUGGAAGGGCUCGGUACCUGUAGCCAGUGCUGAGCUGCGCUGACGCUUCUAGCAGCCCUCCUCUUUGGGAUAGCACCUGAGCGGUCACAGCGAGGGGAAAAAGCCACCGCCCGUACAAUGCCUGCCUUAGGUGAAGAGCCGCCCUUAUGACUGCUGUCGGCUGAGGAGAAAGGGUGGGGCGGGGAGGGAGGCUGCCCUCGUGCCUCCUCCAUCUGCGUCCCUGGGGGAGGCGAUGCAUCGUAGUGCUGUCACUGUCCUGAAGAAGCGGAGCUCUUGGUUUAGAAGAGAAUGAGGAGUUGCUGGAAGUCUUCUGAGGAGGAUGCUGCCCACCACUCAGAUGAGGAAGAAGGUCCCUGUGGAGAAAGAAGAAUACAGAAUGCAAUGUAGGUCUGGAAUUGCAGAAACUGGCUUUGGAGGACUAAUCUUUUUCUUUCUAAACAGGUACCAGUUUUGUUCUCAGCAGAUGUGUUGGACCUCUUGACAGUCAUUUGGGGUUCAUCAGAAACACUAUUACAAAUUAAAAUACAGUGUAAUUGGGAUGACUGCAAGAUGCUAAAAGUAGUCUUUUUGUCAUCACGUCAUUAUUUUACAUCCAUCAUUUGGAGCAUGCAAGAGACGAAGGUAGCUCUUACCAAGGCCUACUCCAUUAUCUGUUCUGAAGUAUCUUUUGCAUCUGAUUGAGUUGCUGUUCUUACACGCACCUGAAGAAGUCCACUCAGCUAUAAUUUAACCAGGAAAAAAAAUCAAAUAUAAUUAUUGGAAAAUCACCUUUUGUUCAUUUUUGUCUAUAAUAGCUCUGUUGGAAAAAGAUAAGUGACUAAUCAAAGUAAAAGGCUGCUUAGGAAUGAAGCAAUAUAAAGCUCAUCAACAACAGAAUUCAGUGAUAGACCCUGAGGCAAUUUCCAAGCUAUUACAACUGCCUGUGGAGACUGCCAAGCUGCAGUAGCUAGAAAAAUAUCUUUCACAGUUUGAUUUGAAGUCCUCUGUUUCUCUGUCAUCUCUUCUUACUUUUAGGAGAUAUUGUGUAGUUAAUGAAAUGCAGUAAGUAGUAUAUUUACUGUGAAAUUUUAACUAAAUAUAUGUAUUCUAACAAUCCAGUAGUAAUGUUACUAUAGUGUGUUUAUUUCCCUAUGCUAAUUUUUAAUAGAUGUUUGAAUUUUAAAUAUAAAUAGAAGUAAUGGGCUGACAUAGAGGAAAAAAAGGCUAGUAUAAAAAAAGCUUAUUGCAUAUCAGCAUUUUAUUAUGAUUGGAAAUAUUUGUAAAUAUUACAAAAAUUAAAAAAAAUUAAACACCUGAAGUACUACCCUGAGACUGUAAAAUGAGGAUGUCAAAAAUAACAUUUAUUGUGAAGGAGCAAUUCUAAUUCCUGUUAUGCCAUGAAGCAAACUGAUUCAUUUUCUCUUAUGUGUUUUAAACAAAGCUAAGUGAUGUUUACAGAUCCUCAAAGCCCAUACAUAGAACAAUUGCUUGUUUUUUAUUUAAUAGCAUAUAAAGACAGUAAUCAGAAUAUGAUACUCAUACAAAAAGAAACUAUAGUCUUGGCUUUGCCCGUGAUGAAAGACUUCAAAUCUCAUUUAAGAAAGGUAUUGCAAGUAAGUUUAACAAGCUAUAAUAGGUAGCUAAUGUGGAAUGAAAUACACGUACAGUAACAGUGGCAGAUACAUGUACAACUUUGUGUCAUACAGGAGCUCUUUCCAAAGUAUGGCCUUUCCCCUUUCUCCUCCCUUUUCAUUGUUGUACCUUGGUAUGCUGGCAAUAUGCUGUCUGCUUGUAAGUGUGAUGGAAUGUGGCCCAAGCAAUUUUAAUUCUUGAACCGUUUGGUACAAACAGUGGCUAGAAUAAGAAAGUUACAUUUAACAGUAUAAUUUAACAACAAGUUUAACCUGUAAAUAAUUCAUUUUACCUGGGUGAUGUAGGAUAACAUCAAACCUUUUGAUGCAGCACUUAGAGAAGGAAGGCUCAAAACAAGUAAUGCCAUUCAAAGUCACAAAGUUAAUGAAAAAUCUCUGUUCUAGCUGCAAACCAGUGUGAUGCACAGUUGAAUAAGA